RNAcentral lists this ribosomal RNA (521 nucleotides) under uncultured bacterium. Its description in RNAcentral is "partial 16S ribosomal RNA". It matches the Rfam family "Bacterial small subunit ribosomal RNA", at positions 355 to 871 of the family's 1533-position model. The record is from RNAcentral.
UGGGGAAUUUUGGACAAUGGGCGAAAGCCUGAUCCAGCAAUGCCGCGUGUGUGAAGAAGGCCUUCGGGUUGUAAAGCACUUUUGUCCGGAAAGAAAUGGCUCUGGUUAAUACCUGGGGUCGAUGACGGUACCGGAAGAAUAAGGACCGGCUAACUACGUGCCAGCAGCCGCGGUAAUACGUAGGGUCCAAGCGUUAAUCGGAAUUACUGGGCGUAAAGCGUGCGCAGGCGGUUGUGCAAGACCGAUGUGAAAUCCCCGAGCUUAACUUGGGAAUUGCAUUGGUGACUGCACGGCUAGAGUGUGUCAGAGGGGGGUAGAAUUCCACGUGUAGCAGUGAAAUGCGUAGAGAUGUGGAGGAAUACCGAUGGCGAAGGCAGCCCCUGGGAUAACACUGACGCUCAUGCACGAAAGCGUGGGGAGCAAACAGGAUUAGAUACCCUGGUGGUCCACGCCCUAAACGAUGUCAACUAGUUGUUGGGAUUCAUUUCCUUAGUAACGUAGCUAACGCGUGAAGUUGACCG